GCCCUCUGUCGGAGCCGGGCAGCACGCGCGAGGCACUGCGCAGACGCUGAAUCCAAAGCUUAGGCGAGGCCAAGGCGGCCGGGAGCAAACCCGGGGCACCUGCAGGGGCGGCCCACUGCGCACGCGCGGGCCGACGCGCCCCCUGGAGGAGCCGGAGCUUCCUGGUGCGUUCUUCCACCCGCGCCUGUCUCCGGUGCUUCCUCCCCGCUGGGCGGCCUGAGCUGUCAGCGCCGGCCGCUGCCGCCCCUGCGAGGCUGGCGCGGAACCGGGAAUCUGAGGGAGGGAACCUGGCGAGAGAGCUCCUCCGGCCGCCGCCACCCUGGCGCUGAGGGUCGGCUUAAGCACCCUUCGUCUACCCAAAGGUGCCAGAGAGUCAUGCCUGUGAGCCCCAGGUCCCUCCAGAUGUCCCUCGAGAUUUCAGCAUUCCUGCUCCCUAGGGCUGCUGCUUCUCUCCAGGGGCCCACUGCUUCCACCCCAGAGUCAUCUGUGUAGUACUGCUGCCACAGGCCACUUCCCCUGGAACCUUGGAGGAACACCUUCAGCCAGCCUUUCCUGGGACUAAGGCCAGAAGAGGGCGCCAGAUCUCACUACAGAUGG
Long non-coding RNA from Onychomys torridus (southern grasshopper mouse), 597 nucleotides. RefSeq lists it as uncharacterized. The transcript is spliced from 3 exons. The record is from RefSeq and is a predicted model, not a curated record. NCBI's taxonomy places the organism in Eukaryota, Metazoa, Chordata, Mammalia, Rodentia, Cricetidae.